This 492-nucleotide ribosomal RNA is filed under the name uncultured bacterium. RNAcentral describes it as "partial 16S ribosomal RNA". It matches the Rfam family "Bacterial small subunit ribosomal RNA", at positions 29 to 507 of the family's 1533-position model. The record is from RNAcentral.
AGUGAACGCUGGCGGUAGGCCUAACACAUGCAAGUCGAACGGCAGCACAGUAAGAGCUUGCUCUUACGGGUGGCGAGUGGCGGACGGGUGAGGAAUACAUCGGAAUCUACUUUUUCGUGGGGGAUAUCGUAGGGAAACUUACGCUAAUACCGCAUACGACCUACGGGUGAAAGCAGGGGAUCUUCGGACCUUGCGCGAUUGAAUGAGCCGAUGUCGGAUUAGCUAGUUGGCGGGGUAAAGGCCCACCAAGGCGACGAUCCGUAGCUGGUCUGAGAGGAUGAUCAGCCACACUGGAACUGAGACACGGUCCAGACUCCUACGGGAGGCAGCAGUGGGGAAUAUUGGACAAUGGGCGCAAGCCUGAUCCAGCCAUACCGCGUGGGUGAAGAAGGCCUUCGGGUUGUAAAGCCCUUUUGUCGGGAAAGAAAAGCAGCAGGUUAAUACCCCGCUGUUCUGACGGUACCCAAAGAAUAAGCACCGGCUAACUUCGUG